Molecule: ribosomal RNA, 253 nt
Filed under: uncultured bacterium
Lineage: Bacteria
Description: partial 16S ribosomal RNA
Rfam family: Bacterial small subunit ribosomal RNA
Source: RNAcentral
UACGAAGGGGGCUAGGGUUGCUCGGAAUCACUGGGCGUAAAGCGCACGUAGGCGGAUUGCUAAGUCAGGGGUGAAAUCCUGGAGCUCAACUCCAGAACUGCCUUUGAUACUGGCGAUCUCGAGUCCGGGAGAGGUGAGUGGAACUGCGAGUGUAGAGGUGAAAUUCGUAGAUAUUCGCAAGAACACCAGUGGCGAAGGCGGCUCACUGGCCCGGUACUGACGCUGAGGUGCGAAAGCGUGGGGAGCAAACAGG